CUGAACUCCUCCCGGGCCCUGAAACUCUUACCCUUUGCGCUUAACCCCUUGUUCCUCCCUUCUCCUCUUUGCUCCCUUCUCCUCUAGACCGCUAACUUGCCAGCUUUUCUAUCAUCUCUAGUGAAGAUCCUCAAGAGAAAGGGUUAUUUGGCAGCCAUGGAGGCUGGAAUAGUGCCUGCCUGGCACACAGAAGAUUCUCCAUAAGUGUCAGUUGACAGGAGCUGAAUCGAAAAUCCCAUGUUUACCCUAAAACGGACAUUGCUUCAGCAGGCCUGAGACAGCGACUGUUGGUUCAUUUACGCAUUCAACAAAUAUUUAUUGAGCACCUACUUAGGAACCAGAGCUUCUGCUAGGGCCUGGAGCUACAGGGAUCCCAGGGCCCUGUUUUUAUGGAGAGUACGUCCUUGUCAACCCGAAUGUCUGAGUGGACAUCAAAAGUAUGUAGCAUUUCCUGGAAUUAAAAAAAAGUUUCAGUUUUCUGAGCCCAAACAAAAGGCAGGUAUUCAAUUACCACUUAUUAGGUCAUAGGCUCCAGUGGCCCCAGGCUCUCCCCUUGUAGUGGCAAGGUGGUUGCAGCAGCUCCAGCCAUCAUAUCCUCUCAGAUCCAAGUUCUGCACACAAAAGCAAGUUGGUUUCCAGUCGCCUAAGCCCAAGUGCUGAUAGUCACUCUUACUGGACUUAUCGUUGACCCAAUUGUAGUGGCCCAAGGAAUGGGCUGAGCUCAUAGACUUAGGCCUAGACAGUCAAGUUCCACCCCCAGUGGGGGACAACCCAAAUGCCCACCACAGGGACUGAGAGUGGGAGGAGAGGCAGAGGGUCUAAUGAAAAUCUGGGAAUGCCAAGUGGCUAUUGGGGAGAUAAAGCCUUCAUUCACCUCUGUGGAUCACUAUUGUCUCCGGUGCUGUCCUGCUGUAAAUCCAUUCUUCACCCCACAGCC
Hipposideros armiger (great roundleaf bat) is the source of this 937-nucleotide long non-coding RNA. RefSeq lists it as uncharacterized. NCBI's taxonomy places the organism in Eukaryota, Metazoa, Chordata, Mammalia, Chiroptera, Hipposideridae. The transcript has 3 exons. The record is from RefSeq and is a predicted model, not a curated record.